RNAcentral lists this ribosomal RNA (397 nucleotides) under uncultured bacterium. RNAcentral describes it as "partial 16S ribosomal RNA". It matches the Rfam family "Bacterial small subunit ribosomal RNA", at positions 523 to 918 of the family's 1533-position model. The record is from RNAcentral.
AUACGUAGGGGGCGAGCGUUGUCCGGAAUGAUUGGGCGUAAAGGGCGCGUAGGCGGCCCGGUAAGUCUGGAGUGAAAGUCCUGUUUUUAAGAUGGGGAUUGCUUUGGAUACUGUCGGGCUUGAGUGCAGGAGAGGUAAGUGGAAUUCCCAGUGUAGCGGUGAAAUGCGUAGAGAUUGGGAGGAACACCAGUGGCGAAGGCGACUUACUGGACUGUAACUGACGCUGAGGCGCGAAAGUGUGGGGAGCAAACAGGAUUAGAUACCCUGGUAGUCCACACUGUAAACGAUGAAUGCUAGGUGUAGGGGGUAUCGACCCCUUCUGUGCCGCAGUCAACACAAUAAGCAUUCCGCCUGGGGAGUACGGCCGCAAGGUUGAAACUCAAAUGAAUUGACGGGG